GGAGAUCACAAGCUAUCAUUCACUAUUUCGUUCAGACAACUUCUGGACUAAUUCCUUAGAGUGUCUAAAAAGCACGGCAAACUCAUUACCUUCUUGCGAACAUUCAUGAAGUCUCGCCCAACAAAGCAGAAGCUAAAGCAGCGGGGCAUCUUGAAAGAGAGAGUGUUUGGUUGUGACCUGGGGGAGCACCUUCUGAACUCUGGGUUUGAAGUGCCCCAGGUUCUCCAAAGCUGCACAGCGUUCAUCGAGAGGUAUGGCAUCGUGGAUGGGAUAUAUCGUCUCUCUGGCGUUGCCUCCAAUAUCCAGAGACUUCGUCAUGAAUUUGAUUCUGAGCAUGUCCCCGACCUGACGAAGGAACCCUAUGUUCAAGACAUCCAUUC
Molecule: long non-coding RNA, 380 nt
Filed under: Rattus norvegicus (Norway rat)
Lineage: Eukaryota; Metazoa; Chordata; Mammalia; Rodentia; Muridae
Description: long non-coding RNA NONRATT027550
Source: RNAcentral